RNAcentral lists this unclassified non-coding RNA (465 nucleotides) under Hevea brasiliensis (rubber tree). The record is from RNAcentral. Lineage: Eukaryota; Viridiplantae; Streptophyta; Magnoliopsida; Malpighiales; Euphorbiaceae.
GAGAGAUUCAUUUUAAUAUGCAAUUCCAAUUCAUAGACACAAAUUUCACUGUUUUUUGAUGAAGUGUUCAGAUCUGUAUCACUUGAUUCUAGUUAUGGAUCAGAUCAACAAUUACAAUACAUACAGCAACAUAGUUUUGCAAUGAAUGAUAAAUUUGUUACAGUGGGUUUCAUUUCUAUCGAAUCCAACAACUGAACACAACUCUAUAUGUAUUCCUAUUUAAAAAGAUUUAUGUAUAAAAUUUGGAACAUUUCACGUACAAGAUCAUUGCAUUUUCUCCUGGCAGCAGACGUGACACAGCCCUAAGAGUUUCAGUUUUGCCCAGAAUGUCUUGUAGAAAUCUGAGUGUCCACCACUUUUGCUUCAUGCUUUCUCUUACCUCUGGGCUUUGAUCUGGAUGAUCGGGUCUUUGUUUGCUUAACAGUGUGCUCUGGGAUGUUUAUCACUGCCUUUUCAGUAGAAGGU